UGGGGAAUAUUGCACAAUGGGCGCAAGCCUGAUGCAGCCAUGCCGCGUGUGUGAAGAAGGCCUUCGGGUUGUAAAGCACUUUCAGCGAGGAGGAAGGUGGUGAGCUUAAUACGCUCAUCAAUUGACGUUACUCGCAGAAGAAGCACCGGCUAACUCCGUGCCAGCAGCCGCGGUAAUACGGAGGGUGCAAGCGUUAAUCGGAAUUACUGGGCGUAAAGCGCACGCAGGCGGUUUGUUAAGUCAGAUGUGAAAUCCCCGGGCUCAACCUGGGAACUGCAUUUGAAACUGGCAAGCUAGAGUCUCGUAGAGGGGGGCUAGAAUUCCAGGUGUAGCGGUGAAAUGCGUAGAGAUCUGGAGGAAUACCGGUGGCGAAGGCGGCCCCCCUGGANGAAGACUGACGCUCAGGUGCGAAAA
This 414-nucleotide ribosomal RNA is filed under the name uncultured bacterium. RNAcentral's name for it is "partial 16S ribosomal RNA". It matches the Rfam family "Bacterial small subunit ribosomal RNA", at positions 355 to 759 of the family's 1533-position model. The record is from RNAcentral.